UGCAGUGAUUAUAUCUGUGAACGCUUUCCUGAAGCCAGAAGAAUUACUCAUGAGAUUGUGGUGAUAAUUGCAAUCUCAUGCGAGUUUUUGCAGGGUGGAUCAAAGGUCAAGACUAUUGGAAUAAUUAUUUUAAUAUGAAAUAUUUGUUAUGUUGGAGAAGAUAAUAAUUAUGUAUUUAUUAAGUGCCGCUUGUGGCACAUAUGUUAUUAUUCUGGAUGUAAUUAUUAUAUCAGAACAAAAUGUUAUUAUUUUUAUAUA
This is a long non-coding RNA of Alnus glutinosa, 258 nucleotides long. RefSeq lists it as uncharacterized. NCBI's taxonomy places the organism in Eukaryota, Viridiplantae, Streptophyta, Magnoliopsida, Fagales, Betulaceae. The record is from RefSeq and is a predicted model, not a curated record. The transcript has 2 exons.